CCACACCAUGGGAGUCAGUUGCUCCAGAAAUCAUGAUUCUGACCCGCAAGGGGAGAUAAUGCUCAAGGAGUGGCUGGUAACUGGGGUG
This 88-nucleotide ribosomal RNA is filed under the name uncultured bacterium. Its description in RNAcentral is "partial 16S ribosomal RNA". The record is from RNAcentral.